This is a non-coding RNA of Schizosaccharomyces pombe (fission yeast), 788 nucleotides long. NCBI's taxonomy places the organism in Eukaryota, Fungi, Ascomycota, Schizosaccharomycetes, Schizosaccharomycetales, Schizosaccharomycetaceae. The record is from the annotation of a GenBank genome assembly.
AUUACGAAUGUUAAUGGUAAUUUGUCCGUACCUUUCAAAAUAACGAGCGUAUUGAUGUAGGGGAAUGUGUAUAAGACGCUCUAAUAAUUGAAAUACAUUAUCUGGACGCUCCUGACGCUCCUCAAAUUCCAGAUAUUUAUCCCAAAAUGGAUGUGACAGAAAAUCCAAUCCAACCAUGUUCGCACCUUGCAUGAAUAGCCUGAUGAGUUAGUAUUUGUCACGUGAAAUAAGGGUUUAUUCUUACUCCCGAACUUCAUUUGCAUCACCAUUGGUUUCCAUUUUAAAAGCGCAAUAGUUUGUCCACAAAUCAACAGAGUGUGGAAUACCAGCAAUUCCUCGUUCGUAGAUCUAUUUUUUUAUUAGAAAAAUAACAAAUCGCAUAAUACUUGUGUACAUACAUGCUCUGAUGCUUCAGCACCUGCCACAAAAAACUCAAAAUCUGCAUACUUCUUCCAAUAACCAAACAAUAGCGGAUAUUUUCCCAAGAAUCGAUCGUACACACUUCUUAAUGUAUUGAUAGCCUGUUUCGAAGAGUUUCUGCCAACACCUCCCUCAAGAUGUUCUGAAGCACGAACCAGUCCUUCCCUAAAUCAUAAUUAGCACUAAAUAAGUUGUAUCUGACAACAUCCUACCAAGCAUCAAAAUCAUCUGGAUUUUUAUUUAUUUGACGAUUAUAUUUAUCCCAUUCUGUUUCCUCUGCAAUGUAAAUAUCCCCAUAAUCCAUUUUGGUUCGCAAGUAUAAAAGCGCGUAAGGAUAAAAUGUAAAUAUCGAACAGCAACGAAAUAUA